Molecule: ribosomal RNA, 428 nt
Filed under: uncultured bacterium
Lineage: Bacteria
Description: partial 16S ribosomal RNA
Rfam family: Bacterial small subunit ribosomal RNA
Source: RNAcentral
GUGGGGAAUAUUGGGCAAUGGGCGCAAGCCUGACCCAGCAACGCCGCGUGAGGGAAGAAGGUCUUCGGAUUGUAAACCUCUGUCCUUGGGGACGAAAAAAAUGACGGUACCCAAGGAGGAAGCUCCGGCUAACUACGUGCCAGCAGCCGCGGUAAUACGUAGGGAGCGAGCGUUGUCCGGAAUUACUGGGCGUAAAGGGUGCGUAGGCGGCUUGGCAAGUCAGAUGGGAAAUCCCCGGGCUUAACUCGGGAGUUGCAUUUGAAACUGCUAGGCUUGAGUGCAGGAGAGGAAAGCGGAAUUCCUAGUGUAGCGGUGAAAUGCGUAGAUAUUAGGAGGAACACCAGUGGCGAAGGCGGCUUUCUGGACUGUAACUGACGCUGAGGCACGAAAGCGUGGGGAGCAAACAGGAUUAGAAACCCUGGUAGUCC